Molecule: unclassified non-coding RNA, 919 nt
Filed under: Leishmania donovani
Lineage: Eukaryota; Euglenozoa; Kinetoplastea; Trypanosomatida; Trypanosomatidae
Description: gene:LdHU3.25.2720(CDS-product:hypothetical_prote in_conserved)
Source: RNAcentral
CUCUUUUUCUUUGAAGGUGAUUAAAAUGGAUGUCGAUCAACACAUUGCUGCCACCAUAAGUGAAAUCGACCGAACACUCAGGUCUAUUGGUAUACGCGAUGAUUACGCAAGUAUUUUCUCCCAGUCUUCCAUUAUUAACAGCCCCCCACCUUUGCUGACUGCUGCGGUGGUGCGAGCAAAUGGCGCUGUACAGACCAGCAGGUCGACCCGUGUGAGUACCGGCGCACAAAAAAGUCCCGCCACGGUAUCUCAAGGCGUGCAAAAUUCUCCACAGCAACGCGCGACAUCGUCUCAGACGGAAAAAGGAGCUGACGCGCAGGAGUGCUUUGACAAAGUCACGAGCUCGGUCUUGUGUGGAAACGCUAUUUUGGAAGAGGGCCUUCAAGCACUCGAACGCUCCUCAGACAAAAUGGAGGCACUCUUUUCGAAGCUGGCCAAACUGGAAGGCAGGGUGAACAGAGCGGCGAAGAGUUUUCGCCUUUUACGCAAUAUAUGGAACAUACAGAUCAUAGAGAAAGAAGAAGCAUCGGCUCGAAGUGCUCUGCUCAACUACGAGUCUAGCGCGCGCACCGAAUUCAUGUCUCUCCGGUGUGGAGAGCUGAUUGCUCUCGUCGCAGCCUUCAGAAAAGAGCGAGUACCAUCAAAGGCGUCGAGUGAGCUAAAAAGACCUGCUCCUACUCGAGUGAUAGCAAAUGGUAACGUAGUCGUGGAAACACCAGGCAGCUCCCUCAAUGAUCUCACUGAGUUGUUGGACGAAUGUUGGCGCGUUCUAGAUGAGUAGAAAUGCAGCAUUUUUUUGUUGAAAAGGAGGAUUACAGUUUCUGCUGGUUGAAGGCACGCCCGCUGCUACUUUUGUUUGACGCUUUUUGCCCUAUCCAGGCACUCACAUGCUGCGCAUGAGAGCACGUCUCCGUUUAAG